AUUGAACGCUGGCGGCAUGCUUUACACAUGCAAGUCGAACGGCAGCACGGGUGCUUGCACCUGGUGGCGAGUGGCGAACGGGUGAGUAAUGCAUCGGAACGUGCCCAUGAGUGGGGGAUAGCCCGGCGAAAGCCGGAUUAAUACCGCAUACGCCCUUAGGGGGAAAGCGGGGGAUCUUCGGACCUCGCGCUAUUGGAGCGGCCGAUGUCGGAUUAGCUAGUAGGUGAGGUAAAGGCUCACCUAGGCGACGAUCCGUAGCUGGUCUGAGAGGAUGAUCAGCCACACUGGGACUGAGACACGGCCCAGACUCCUACGGGAGGCAGCAGUGGGGAAUUUUGGACAAUGGGCGCAAGCCUGAUCCAGCCAUGCCGC
RNAcentral lists this ribosomal RNA (372 nucleotides) under uncultured bacterium. RNAcentral's name for it is "bacterial SSU rRNA". It matches the Rfam family "Bacterial small subunit ribosomal RNA", at positions 30 to 400 of the family's 1533-position model. The record is from RNAcentral.